RNAcentral lists this unclassified non-coding RNA (286 nucleotides) under Hevea brasiliensis (rubber tree). The record is from RNAcentral. Lineage: Eukaryota; Viridiplantae; Streptophyta; Magnoliopsida; Malpighiales; Euphorbiaceae.
CAAAUUACAUGUAAAUAAGGGUAUUUAUAAAUAUUAAUCUCCUAAACCUAAUAGGAAUGUAAAACUACUAAAUAGGAAUUUUAGAUAAACGAAAAUACAAUAAGAAGAUAUAAACUAAAUAGGAAAACUAAAUCCUCUGAAAGUCUUCACAAGACGUCCUAGAUAAAUUAGGAUUGUUGAAAAUUAAAAUUAGUUAAAAAAAAAAGUUCUGCCUUAUUGUCCAGACCUCGCAUCAUACUCUCCCACUUGAAAAAAAGAAAAAAAAAAAAAACUCGUCAUCGAGUUG